UUUCCUCUUUUUAUAAUCUGCACAUUAUUUUAACUUCCUUAACAUUGAACAUAUUUCUAGAAAAUUACUUUUAUCCUGAGAUAAUCACACAAUACUAGUCCCUUCUUCAAGAUACAUUAGUCAAAUAGUCAGAUCAUAGUCUCAGAGAACAAAUAAGACGUAUGGUCACUACUUACAUCACAUAAUCAUCAUUCAACCAUGAUUUUACAAGAUGAUAUUUAUGAUUAAACUCUUGGGUCUGACCCAUGCUGCACUUUCUCAAUAGCUCCUUUUUCAAGAUGCCGAGACGAUCGAACGCAUGAGACGGCCGACAAAUCGAAGGCAUGUCAACAACUCCGGCAACUUGCAUCCAAUAUACGACGGCGACGCCCAAACAAUCGAAGGCGCAAAGAAACGCCCACCAAAUUGAAGACACGGCAUCAACACCAUCAACCUCAGGUAAUAUCCACAUGCAAUUCCUCACAUGUGUGCCAGCAUUUUGAUCUCAACUCAACCUUUCUUCUAAUAUUCUAUGUCAAAACUCUUCUGAUACUAAACUAUAAAGCAUGUUUUUAAUGCAUCCUGACACUACCAUGACACCUAUUGAACAAUUAUUGAUUUAUAGUGCCAUCCAGACAAAUGUACUGUAUGUGACACCUUAUUAGUCUCUUCAUCAUAUCUCCAAAUGCACUUUCAUGUCUGGAAUGACAAACAUUAUUAAGUACUCCCUCUGUAACUUAAUAUAAGACGUUUUUUGAUAGUGUCAAAAAACGUCUCAUUAAGUUAUGGAGGGAGUACAACAUAAAUCAUAGUACAUGAUACUCCCUCUGUCUCAAAAUUCUCGUCUUAGAUUUGUCUAAAUACGGAUGUACCUAGUUAUGUUUUAGUGUUAGAUACAUCCGUAUCUAGACAAAUGUAUGACAAGAAUUUUGGGACGGAGGGAGUACUAUAUUAAGGAAACUCUAUACGUCACUAACAAAAUCACAUUUGUAGAGAUGACUGUCCAGCAUACGUCAGCCCCAGCAGCUCAUCAUACAAAAAGAAAGGAAGAACAACCUCUAAACUCAAGGAGCACAAAGCGGACAAGGACUGCAGAGGGAAGAAGAAAUACGAACACAGAGGCUCCUAAACGAUUAAGAAAGGAUAGUGCUGAAGAAGAUAAGGAAUUGAAGUGUGCAAGAAGCGGAAGCAACAAAAACAACAUCAAAAUCAAUGUUGGAGACAACAACAGAACCACAGCCUCGACAAAAGCUAAUAGAAAGGCAUGGAACUUCGGAAGGCCAACAUACAAAUGCCAGUAUUGCAAAGCAUUGCUAUGGUGUGAAGAAAGAUUAAAUUCAAACAAAGGAACUAAGACACCCUCUUUUGGAAUAUGCUGCAAACAGGGAAAAAUCGACCUGCCACCACUAAGAGAGCCUCCACCAUACCUCAGAAAUCUCUUAAGAAGUGAAGGACAGGAUUCAGUAAACUUCAAAGAAAAUAUAAGGUCAUACAACUCAAUGUUUUCAUUCACAUCCAUGGGAGGAGUUGUGGACAAGGAAAUAAACACUCGCAAAGGACCUUAUGUUUUUCGUUUGCAUGGACAGAAUUACCACCAUAUCGGAACUCUUUUACCUGAAGGUACAAACAAACCUCGGUUUGCACAGCUGUACAUCUAUAAUACCGAAAAUGAGGUGGCAAACAGGAUAAGUGCAUCAAGAUGCAAUGAUAAUAAAUCAACAGUGGACCCCAACAUUGUCAAAGAAUUGCAAAUAAUGCUCGACGACAACAACAUCCUCGCAAAAACAUUCAGAAUGGCAAGAGAUAGAUUCCAAGAAGGAGACUACCAUGAUUACACACUUCGGAUACUAGGAAAAAGGAACGGAACACACAACCUUCCAUCCGCAUCUGAAGUUGCAGCAUUGGUAGUAAGAGAUCCAACUGGAGAGAGUGAAGGACGUGACAUUGUUGUUGAGUACAAAAAUAUGGUGCCACAAAGGAUAUCAGAGAUCCACCCGAAAUUCAUGUCCAUGCAAUAUCCGUUAUUGUUCCCAUAUGGAGAAGAUGGUUUUAAACUUGAGAUACCGUACAAGAAAACAAAAGGAGCUAAAAACAGCAGGAAAUACGUAACGUUGUUGGACUACUAUGCAUUCUACCUACAGCAACGUCCAGACCAAGGAAUGUUAUUGCUCAAGUCUGGGCAUCUGUCACUGCAAUUUUGGGUGGAUGUAUACACAUGUAUCGAGCAAAAUAGACUAAACUGGAUCCGACACAAUCAAGGAAAGCUAAGAACUGAAAUUUACAAUGGAUUGCAGGAUGCAAUUAAGCGAGGGGACACAAGAACAGAGCAGGUUGGAAAGAGGAUAAUUGUGCCUUCAUCUUUUACAGGUGGUAGAAGGAACAAGGCACAAUACUUGCAAGAUGCAUUCGCAAUAUGUCGUUGGGCUGGAUACCCAGACCUGUUUAUAACAUUCACAUGCAAUGCAAAGUGGCCUGAGAUCCAAUACAUGCUAGAUGAAGCGGGAGGUGACCAAAAGCCAGCCGAUCGGCCAGAUAUUUUGGACAGAGUAUUUAUGAUAAAACUAAAGGAGCUAAUGAGAGACAUAAAAGAGAAGAAAUACUUUGGAGAAACACUUGCAAGUAAGUCCCAUCGACUAUCAAUAUUUACUCUUGCAUGUGUCAUCUUAUAGUCAGACAGAUUCUUACCCUUUAGUAAGAUGCAUUUCAAUUUUACCUAAAGUUAACAAACUAUUAUUAACCAACUGCAGUUAUCUACCAAUAGAAUUCCAGAGGAGAGGACUCCCGCAUGCCCACAUACUAAUAUUUUUUAAGGACAAAGACAAGUACCCAGAACCAUCGCAAAUCGAUAAAAUAAUAAGCGCUGAGAUCCCAAACAAGGACGAGGAUCCUGAGGCAUUUGAAGCUGUCGAGAACUUCAUGAUGCAUGGCCCAUGUGGAGAGGCUAAGCAAAACUCGCCAUGCAUGGUGGACCAUAGAUGCAGCAAGCAUUUCCAAAAAGAUACAAUGUUAGUACUACCAUCGAUGAGGACGGGUUUCCAGUAUAUAAAAGGAAGGACGACGGAAGGCAAAUCAAAAAGGGAGUGGUCAUGCUCGACAACAGAUUUGUUGUGCCAUACAACCGAAAUCUUCUGGUCAAAUUUCAAGCUCACAUAAAUGUCGAAUGGUGCAAUAGGUCUAGAUCAAUCAAGUACCUAUUUAAGUAUAUCGACAGAGACAACGAUCAAGUUACAACCUUGCUCAAGGAAAGGCUCGCAGCAAACGAAACUGACGAGAUCAAGAAAUACCUAGAGAUGAGAUACAUAUCAACAUCAGAAGCAUGCUGGAGGAUAUUCCAGUUUGAUCUUCACUAUCGUGAUCCAGCUGUUGAGAGGCUACCUUUCCAUCUUGAAAAUGAGCAGCAAGUGAUUUUUCCUGACUCGACUGAUCUUGACAAGAUAGUUACAAGAGAAGGAUCUAAAAGUACCAAGUUCACUCAAUGGAUGGAGGUAAAGAAUUAACGUAUGCAGAAUUCCCUACAAAAUUUGUAUGGAAACGUUAAACAAAAUGUUGGCAGAAGCGAAAAAGGGACUAUGCAAUUGGAAGAAUCUACUAUGCACAUCCCGCAAGUGGUGAGCGACAUUAUCUGAGGAUGCUUCUAAACACGAAGAAAGGAUGCACAUCAUUUGAGGACAUUAGGACCAUUGACGGAGUCACUCACCCAACGUACAAAUCAGCAUGCCAAGCCCUUGGAUUUCUGGAUGAUGACACUGAGUGGAUUGACUGUAUCAAUGAAGCAUCAAGUUGGCCAUCUGGAACACAACUGCGUCAGUUAUUCACCACCAUAUUGUCCCAUUGCGAAGUCACAAACCCAAAGAUAUUGUGGGAUUCAACAUGGGAGGCAUUGUGUGAAGAUAUGCAAUGCAAAAGAAGGAUUAUUCUAAACUUUCCAACGCUUCAGCUCACCAACACACAGAAACAAACGUAUGGUCUGAUUGAGAUAGAAAAACUGAUGAGGCAAGUAGGAAAGUCAUUAAAGGAAUAUACAGAGAUAGAACUACCAAAUGCUGCAGAGCUAGAUGAACUUGGGAACAGACUAAUAAACGAAGAGGUCAACUACGACAUGGAGAAACUCAAGGAUGAGCACAAAACCAUACUAAACAAUCUUAACCAAGACCAGAAGAAAGCCUUUGAUAAAAUAAUGGAAUCCGUCAACAAAGGGCUAGGAAAGCAGAUAUUUGUCGAAGGCUACAGUGGCACAGGAAAAACCUAUCUAUGGAAAGCAAUAACGACGAAGCUAAGAUCAGAGGGGAAGAUAGUGCUUGCGGUGGCAUCAUGUGGCAUUGCAGCGUUGCUUCUCCAAGGUGGAAGGACAGCACACCAAGGUUCCGCAUUCCACUUAAUAUAACUGAAGAAUCAACGUGUGAAAUAAAACAAGGCUCACAUUUGGCUGAACUACUAAAGAAGACCUCACUUAUAUUGUGGGACGAAGCUCCUAUGGCAAACAAACACUGCUUCGAGGCACUAGACAAAAGCCUUAGAGAUAUUCUCAGAUUCACUAACGAGAACAGCGACGAAAAGCCAUUUGGUGGAAUGACAAUUAUACUAGGAGGCGACUUCAGACAAAUCCUACCAGUUAUAACCAAAGGAAGGAGAGAGCAAAUAGUUAAUGCUACAAUCAAAAGGUCAUAUCUGUGGAAACACUUUGAAAUAUUUGAGUUGACACAAAACAUGCGGCUGAAGUGUUUGUCUGAUGAUCCAAUACAAAAGCAAAAAGUCGCUGAAUUUGCAGAGUGGAUACUACAAAUUGGCGAUGGGAAAACAACAUCAGAUGAAGGAGAGGAUUGGAUAAAAAUACCAAAGGACCUACUGCUACAGAAAGGAGAAAAUCGUAAAGAACUAAUCGUCGAAAGCAUAUAUCCAAACUUGCUGCAAAAAUACCGUGAGCGGGAUUACCUAGAAGAAAGAGCAAUACUCUGUCCAAGAAAUGAUACAGUCAAGGAGAUAAACGACCACAUCAUGAGCCAAAUACAAGGUGAUGAGGUGACAUACCUAAGCCUGGACACCAUGUGCAAGGCAACGACAAACACCAACAUCAUGAUGAACAUGCAGCCUACUGAAUUCCUAAACACCUUGACGUUCCCUGGAAUCCCAGACCAUGAGCUAAAACUGAAAGUGGGUUUGCCGGUCAUGCUCCUACGCAACAUCAACCAAGCAGCAGGUUUAUGCAAUGGUACAAGAAUGACAAUAACACAACUUGGAAACAAAUACAUUGAGACACGAAUAAUCACAGGAACACACGUCGGUGACAAGGUAUACGUACCUCGAAUAAUCAUGUCACCCAGCGACUCAAAAUGGCCAUUCGUGCUGAAAAGAAAGCAAUAUCCAUUAUCAGUGUGCUUCGCAAUGACGGUAAACAAGAGCCAAGGUCAGUCCUUAAACAAGAUAGGAAUAUAUUUGCCUAAGCAAGUGUUCUGCCACGGACAACUGUAUGUGGCAUUAUCAAGAGUGACAAACAAGGAAGGACUGAAGGUAUUGAUCGAUGACAAAGAGUGUCCAACUGAAGAUGUCGCAAAAAAUAUUGUUUAUAAAGAGAUAUUCUAAUUUAUAGUGCAGUUGAUCAAGACAACCUUCCCGCAAAAAAAAGACAACCUAACCACAUGUUAUCAACAAAAUAUGUACUUGGUGGACGUGUUCAUUUUACGUAGCUAAUCAACAUAUGUAUGUUUGAUCUCUCCACACAGUAUCACUUUUUUGUUUAUUAGUUAUUUAUCCCUGAAUAAUUUCUAUCUCUUUUCUAUCGUCUUUAAAAAAAACUGAAGCAUAAAUAUUUUUAGGUAGCUAACAUGCAGUACUAUAUUUGAUCGUUCUGGAGAAAGUUCACCAAUGAAUUCCACCUAAUUAGCGAUUACUA
This 5869-nucleotide long non-coding RNA is filed under the name Triticum aestivum (bread wheat). Its description in RNAcentral is "long non-coding RNA (TAES_LNC022623)". The stretch from base 795 to 929 matches the Rfam family "MIR1120/MIR1122 microRNA precursor family". Lineage: Eukaryota; Viridiplantae; Streptophyta; Magnoliopsida; Poales; Poaceae. The record is from RNAcentral.